AACUUGAGAAGGCCGCAUCAGGUACUAAACAAAGCUGUUUUUCUAUUCUAGCCAUUUUGAGUAGAAGGGAAUUAGUGGUCAGUAUGUCUUUUGAUUCCAGUUAGAUAAGUUAAUAGUCUCAAAUGAAUUAUUUAUAUGUAUGUAGAUGCUAAGAUUUGUGAGUCUCUGACCCAAUUUAAUGCUAAAUCAAGUUCACACUGGGAUUCAAAUCAGUAUCUAGAAAUGAAGAGAGUUUAAUACCGAGUGGAUUAUGUGUUUUUGUAAACUUGCCCUUUUAAUUUGUCUUCCUGUGUUCUUUAUCAUUUGCAGCUUUGGGGGUGGAAUUACUGCCGAAUAGCUCUCUGCUUGGACACAGCUGCAGACUGAGUGUUAAGGCCAGAGUUUAACAUUAAGACUGAGGCUUACUUGUCUCUGCUAGCUGAAUCCCUUCUCUUCUUCUCAACUUCCUCGUCUGUGCCUUCCAACAAAUGUUUUCUAUCAGCUAAAAUUCUCUCUCAGGAAAAAUCAAUGAAGAUAGCCAGACUAGCUAUAGCUUUGGGGAGUUUUGACUUGCAAAUGCACGGGGUUGCGUUUUCCUACAACUGCUAAUGAAAUUUGAUCCUUCAUGUGGAUUGCAGACCUCUCCCCAGAGGGAAUUACUUAACUAGAAAAUGAGUUACAUAUGCUGGUGAUUUAUAACACUAUCCAGAGGCCUCGGAGCUGGUAAAUUUUUCCAGUUUUCUCAUACUUUCCUACAUAUCUGGCUUUAUACAUAGGGAUGGUUCGUUACAACAGUUGUUAUAAUGAAAUAAACAGACCUGAUGGGGAGCAAAGCCAUCCUUUACUCUAGAUUCCACCUAUAUGGGAAAGCUGGAUUUUAAAAAGCUAAAUAUUUGGCCCAAAUCCCAAUAUUUGGAAAGUAAUAUAAUAAUAUGAAGCAUUCUUUCUGAGAUAAAAAAUAAUGCAUCCUGUAGCCUUCCGUUAUGUUAGGUGUGACAUUGUUAAUCCCUUCCCAUAACUUGGAGUGCCAAUCGCUUUUCUGCUUAGAAUUAGAAAAGUUCUUGAAUGUUUGGGGGUCAUAUUUGAAGUCUAGGGGUUUUUGACCAUUUGUAAAGCUAGGAUACUUUUCUGUGCAUGAGCUUUAGCUCUACUUUAACAGUGAAACCAGUUGGCAAGAGAUGUAACCACAAAGCAGUUUUAUAACUUUUCUUAACUCUCUUCCCUCUCAAGUUUUUAGACCUUUAGUCCUGCCAACUCCUUCUUUCCCCUUUAUGGUUUUAAUAAAAAAAUUGUUUUCAUUUAAAUGGGAAGAAGAAUUUUAAGUGGAAGGAAAAAAUGUUAGAAAUCCUAAAUAGAGAGGAAGGGGCUUUGUUGUGACUCAAAGCACCAUUGUAAGUCUCCUCCUCCCAGACCCUGCUAGGAAUAGGAUAGUGAUGUCAUGCCAGUACACACAAUGUGGAUUCAGUGCAAAAGGCUGCUGCAUGUUGAAACUGGCCAAAGGUAGGAAAUGACUGGGACUGCAGCAGACAAAAAUGCUGAUUAUGUGUAAGGAUAUGGUGAGAAACUUUUUCUUGUAAAUAUCUAGUGAGAUAUGGGUCAGAACAAGCCUAUCUCUCUAAGCCUGCUUGGAGAGGAGAAAAACUUCCCAUAUAAGAUCCUACUAGGCCAGGUGUGGUGGCUCAUGCCUGUAAUCCCAGUAUUUUGGGAGGCAGAGGGGGGGGGGAAAUCACUUGCUUCCAAGAGUUCGAGACCAGCCUGGCCAACAUAGUGAAACCCCAUCUCCACUAAAUAUACAAACAUUAGCCAGGCAUGGUGGUGUGUGCCAGUAGUCCCAGAUACUCAGGAGGCUGAGGCAGGAAAAUCACUUGAACCUGGGAGGCAGAGGUUGCCAUGAGCCAAAAUAAUGCCACUGCACUCCAGCCUAGGUGACAGUGAGACUCUGUCUCAAAAAAUAUAUAAAAAUAAAAGAUCCUACUAGAUGGCUGAUAGCACCGGGCAAUGUAAUUGAUUGCUAAAAGUAUAGGAAGAUGGAAAAGGCUGAGCACAGUGGCUUACAUCUGUAAUCCCAGCAUUUUGGGAGGCCAAAGCAGGAGGAUUGCUUGCGUCCAGGAGUUUGAGACCACCCUGGGCAACAUAGCCAGACCUUGUCUCUACUAAAAAUUUAAAAAUUAACCAAGUGUGGUGGUACGCACCUAUAGUCCCAGCUACUUAGAGGCUGAGGCAGAAGAUCGCUUGAGCAUGAGAGUUCAAGGUUGCAGUGAGCCAUGAUCGCCGCUGCACUCUAGCCUGGGUAACACAGUAAGAUCCCUGUCCCUUAAAAACACGAAGAAGAAGAUGGAAGAGACCUAAGAUUCACCUGGACUUCUAGGUUUGGUUGCUUUUUGUGUUUCCCUUUUUUAAUUUCCUGAGUCAUCAUUUGUCUCUUAAUGGACUGCUCAGGGAGUAGAAAGCACAGCCACCCUUGGUCUUAUCACUGUUUCUAAAUAAGCAUCAUUGUCCAUAUUGAAAACAGUCUAGAUUUUUUUUUAAUUAUUAUUUAUUUUUAAGACAGAGUCUCACUGUUACCCAGGCUGGAGUGCAUUGGCGCGAUCUCGGCUCUCUGUAACCACCUCCUGGGUUCAAGUGAUUCUCCUGCCUCAGUCUCCUGAGUAGCUGGGAUUACAGGCGCCUGCCACUACUCCCAGCUAAUUUUUGUAUGUUUAGUAGAGACGGGGUUUUGUCAAGUUGUCCAGGCUGGUCUCAAACUCCUGACUUCAGGUGAUCCACCUGCCUCGUCCUCCCAAAGCGCUGGGAUUACAGGCAUGAGCCACUGUGCCCAGCCGUCUUUGGGCACUUAUAUUAUACUCCCUUUAAUAGUCUUGUAUGGGCCGGGCAUGGUGGCUCACACCUGUAAUCCCAGCACUUUGGGAGGCCAAGGUGGGCAGAUCACCUGAGGUUGGGAGUUCAAGACCUGCCUGACCAACAUGGAGAAACCCAGUCUCUACUGAAAAUAUAAAAUUAGCCAGGCAUGGUGGUGCAUGAGUGUAAGCCCAGCUACUCAGGAGGCUGAGGCAGGAGAAUCCCUUGAACCCGGGAGGUGGAGGUUGCAGUGAGCCGAGAUCUUACCACUGCACUCCAGCCUGGGUGACAAGAGCAAAACUCUGUCUCAAAAAAAAAAAUAUAUAUAUAUAAAAUAGUCUUGUAUGAAUCUGUAUACUCCCCCAUCUGUAUUUUCUUUCAAAGUGAGGAUGUUUUGCUGAGCACAGUGGCUCACACCUGUAAUCCUAACUACUUGGGAGACUGAGGCAGGAGGAUGGCUUGAGGCCAGGAGUUUGAGACCAGCAACAUAUUAAGACCCCAUCUCUUAAAAAAAAAAAAGCUGGGAGUGGUGGUAUAGUGGUAUAUCUGUAGUCCUAGCUAUUUGAAAGGCUGAGACAGGAGGCAGGAGAAUUGCGUGAGCCCAGAAGUUUGAGACUGCAGUGAAGUAUGAUUGCUCCACUGCACUGCAGCCUGGGCAAGAGAAUGAGAUGCUGUGUCUAUUUGAAAUUUUUUAAAAAGUAAGGAUGUUUUUUGGUGGGUAGUGGCAUGCCGCGAUGGCGGCAGGCAGCAGUGAUCCACAGGCUGGUGACGUAGAGGACACGUUACAGCUCAUCUUUCCUAAAGAGUUUGAAACAGCUGAGACUUCUAAAUUCAGAAGUUUAUAUGCCUCUGGAACAUCAAAAGCAACAGAAUAAGAGUGCAGAGAAUAAACAGGAACUCUCAGAAAUCUUCAUAAGAACAUUAAACUGUAUAGCCCAUUCCAGUCAUUUCAAAAAGAGAGAGACCAUUUCCAGUGUUCAUAGCUUGCUACUCCAGAAAAAGCUUCGUACGUUUGAGUUGACCUGUUUGGCCAACCUAUGCCCAGAGACUGCCAAGGAGUCCAAGGCUCUAAUCCCAAGCUUGGAGGGGCGGUUUGAAGAUGAGGAGCUGCAGCAGAUUCUUGAUGCCAUCCUGACAAAGCACAGCUUUCAAUAUUAAUCUCCAAACAUCACUGCUGCUCGGAGAAACCACAUCCCCAGGCAUCACACCACCUUCCCAGGGUCUGGGGCUGACUUGCACAGAAAUUCUAUUGCAGAAGAGAGCCCAGCUUGGCGUUGGGUUAGGUUUCUGUUUCAAAUAACUCACAGGCCCAGGUGACAUGUAAUCUUGGAGCAGCCUUGGGAAGUGGCUGCCAGGGGCUUCCUGAACGUGCCUCUGGGAAGUGUGAGGUCAGGCGAGGGGUCAUAUAAGCCACGCUAUUGACUACCUCAUUCAUGGUUUUUGGCCUCCACACCAUCUUUUAUUCUUAAUAUUUUAUGUUUUAAUUUCAGUGUGUUUAUAUUUUUUGAAACUAGACCAGAACAUAGUAGACUUUAUAGAGAAAGAUCCAUUUUUUCUAGAUACCAAAGGAAGAAUUAAACCACUGUUACUGUUUGAAAUGCUUAUUUUUAUUUUUAUGGAGAUAGGGUCUUAACUCUGUGGCCCAGGCUGGAGGAGUGUAGUGAUACAGUCAUGGCUCACUGCAGCCUUGACCCCUCUGCCUCAGCCCCCCAAAUAGGUGGGGCCACAGGUGUGCAACACCACUCUCAGCUAAUUUUUAAAAUUUUUUAUGGAGAUGGGGUUUCACUACCUCGCCCAGACUGGUCUUAAACUGGUCUUAAACUUCUUGGCCUCCUGCCUUGGCCUCCCAAACUGGUAAGGUUACAGGCGUGAGCCACCACAUCUGACCUGAAAUGCUUAAAGGAUGAGAGUGUCGAUGACAGAUCUCCUUGGCAUCAUUGUGCCUAACCUGGGACACAGGGAAGAAGCGUGCCAUGGGAAGUGUUUACAUCUGGGGACAACUGUGCUAAGUAUUAUGGAGCCCAUAGCCUUGAGGGAGAUGCCUACUUUGCCUUUUUUCUUGAGCUGUCUUGCAGAAUGUGUAUUUGAGCCAAGUGGCCUUAAAGCACUUAUUUAGUCACCCUCAAAUUAAGAUUUUUACUUCUCUUUCUUGGGUCUGCACCUCCAAGAUCACAAAGAAAAGAAGAAACAAUGGUCGUGCCAACGAGGGCCACAACCGGGGGUGUGCUAUUCACUGCAGCCUAUUUGUUUCAUGAACUGUGUCCAUUGUGUGCCCAACGACAAGGCCUUUAAGAAAUUCAUCAUUUGAAAUGUAGAGGCUGCAGCAGUCAGUGAUGUUUCUGAAGUGUGUGUCCUUGACACCUGUGUACUUCCCAGGCUGGAUGUGAAGCUGCAUUACUUUGUGAGCUGUGCUAUUCACAGCACAGUAGGCAGGAAUUGAGCUCAUGAAGCCCACAAGGACCAAACAUAUCUACCUCAAUGAGACCUGUGGGGGCUGCCCCAUGCCCCCCACCAAAGCCCAUAUAAGGAGCAGAGUACUUAAGGACUCAAGAAAAACUAUCCUCUGGAGAAAAAUAAAAUUGCAAUUGUACUUAAAAGACCUUACUUCAUAGGCCAUGCUUGAAGUUCUGCACACUUUGAAGUCUGUGAUUAUGAGGGAUCCAGUCUAAGCUUCUGGCUUGCUACUUAGCAAUAGGUGUUCUAUGAUGGACUGAUUCGGAAGGAGGGAGUCAGCCACUCUUGAGCCACUGCAGUGAAGUCAUUUGAUCUUAGUCUGGGGGGAAACACUUGAAUAGCUAAACAUUCUAGUUUUGAUUUUUCUGAAGGGAAUACACCUGUUUUCAAUUCUGGGGUUUUUCUGUGGGGCACUUGCUUGACUGUAUAUGAACUUGUCAUCCAAGUAGGAGAAAGAACAAUGUUGGCUUUUAAAGUCAGGAUAGUUUUGUGUUUGCUACUAGAUAAGGUAAAAAUAAAAAAUUCUUAUUUUUA
This is a non-coding RNA of Callithrix jacchus (white-tufted-ear marmoset), 5805 nucleotides long. Lineage: Eukaryota; Metazoa; Chordata; Mammalia; Primates; Cebidae. The record is from RefSeq and is a predicted model, not a curated record.